AUUUUGGACAAUGGGGGAAACACUGAUCCAGCCAUCCCGCGUGUAUGAUGAAGGCCUUCGGGUUGUAAAGUACUUUUGGCAGAGAAGAAAAGGUAUCUCCUAAUACGAGAUACUGCUGACGGUAUCUGCAGAAUAAGCACCGGCUAACGACGUACCAGAAGCCGCGGUUAUACGGAGGGUGCAAGGGUUAAUCGGAAUUACUGGGCGUAAAGCGUGUGUAGGCGGUUCGGAAAUAAAGAUGUGAAAGCCAAGGGCUCAACCUUGGAACUGCAUUUUUAACUGCCGAGCUAGAGUAUGUCAGAGGGGGGUAGAAUUCCACGUGUAGCAGUGAAAUGCGUAGAUAUGUGGAGGAAUACCGAUGGCGAAGGCAGCCCCCUGGGAUAAUACUGACGCUCAGACACGAAAGCGUGGGGAGCAAACAGG
This 423-nucleotide ribosomal RNA is filed under the name uncultured bacterium. RNAcentral describes it as "partial 16S ribosomal RNA". It matches the Rfam family "Bacterial small subunit ribosomal RNA", at positions 361 to 776 of the family's 1533-position model. The record is from RNAcentral.